GACGAACGCUGGCGGCGUGCUUAACACAUGCAAGUCGAACGGAAAGGCCCUGCUUUUGUGGGGUGCUCGAGUGGCGAACGGGUGAGUAACACGUGAAUAACCUGCCCUUUACUUUGGGAUAACUUCAGGAAACUGGUGCUAAUACCGGCUAGGAGCUCCUGCUGCAUGGUGGGGGUUGGAAAGCUUCGGCGGUUGGGGGUGGACUCGGGGCUUACCAGCUUGUGGGUGGGGUAGUGGCUUACCAAGGCUUUGACGGGUAGCCGGCCUGAGAGGGUGACCAGGCACAUUGGGACUGCGAGACGGACCAGACUCCUACGGGAGGCAGUAGUGGGGAAUAUUGCACAAUGGGCGGAAGCGUGAUGAAGAAACGCCGCGUGCGGGAUGACGGCCUUCGGGUUGUAAACCGCUUUAGCUUGUGACGAAGCGUGAGUGACGGUAAUGGGUAAAGAAGCACCGGCUAACUACGUG
This 468-nucleotide ribosomal RNA is filed under the name uncultured bacterium. Its description in RNAcentral is "partial 16S ribosomal RNA". It matches the Rfam family "Bacterial small subunit ribosomal RNA", at positions 28 to 507 of the family's 1533-position model. The record is from RNAcentral.